GCUGAUAUGGCUCAGUUGGUAGAGCGCACCCUUGGUAAGGGUGAGGUGCCCAGUUCGACUCUGGGUAUCAGCACCA
RNAcentral lists this transfer RNA (76 nucleotides) under Shigella sonnei. RNAcentral's name for it is "tRNA-Thr". It matches the Rfam family "tRNA". From Rfam's summary of the family: Transfer RNA (tRNA) molecules are approximately 80 nucleotides in length. Their secondary structure includes four short double-helical elements and three loops (D, anti-codon, and T loops). Lineage: Bacteria; Pseudomonadati; Pseudomonadota; Gammaproteobacteria; Enterobacterales; Enterobacteriaceae. The record is from RNAcentral.